This 322-nucleotide long non-coding RNA is filed under the name Setaria viridis. RNAcentral's name for it is "long non-coding RNA (SVIR_LNC005657)". The record is from RNAcentral. Lineage: Eukaryota; Viridiplantae; Streptophyta; Magnoliopsida; Poales; Poaceae.
GGUUGUUCAAUGAAUCUAUUGGACAUGUUAUUGACCACAGAAUUCAAAGGAUUCAAAUUGUAAUGAGAGCUCAAACUUUGAAAGUUCACACUGUUGGAGCUCUCUGUCGAGACAGAAUGGCUAGUGCCAUUGGACUCUGAAUCAGUGCUAAGUGUCCCACUUUAGAUCAAGUUUUUGAAGAUUUCUAUAUGUAGAGGUUUGGCAAGAUCAUGAAAAAUAGAAUCUCUAAUAUGAGGUUAAUAAGUUUUUAGUAGUCAUUGGACAAACAAAACUGAGUUUUGAUAUUUUAUUUGGGGGUUCAAAGUUGGAAGGUGCAUUGUCA